Molecule: ribosomal RNA, 253 nt
Filed under: uncultured bacterium
Lineage: Bacteria
Description: partial 16S ribosomal RNA
Rfam family: Bacterial small subunit ribosomal RNA
Source: RNAcentral
UACAGAGGGUGCGAGCGUUAAUCGGAAUCACUGGGCGUAAAGGGCGCGUAGGCGGUCUUUUAAGAUUGGUGUGAAAGCCCCGGGCUUAACCUGGGAACGGCACUAAUGACUGGGAGGCUGGAGUACUGUAGAGGGUAGUGGAAUUUCCGGUGUAGCAGUGAAAUGCGUAGAGAUCGGAAGGAACACCGGUGGCGAAGGCGGCUACCUGGACAGAGACUGACGCUGAGGCGCGAGAGCGUGGGGAGCAAACAGG